GCCCACCCCCCACCAAGGCUCUGCAUCACAUACACAAACACACACUGCAUUCAUACACACACACACACACUGCAUUCAUACUCACACACUGCAUUAUAUACACACACACACUGCAUUCAUUAUAUACACACACUGUAAAUAAAUAUUCAAUUAAUAUAAUUUUUUGGGGAUAUAAUUUUAUUUAGAAAUUUACCAGUAGCUGCUGCAUUUCCCACCCUAGUCUUAUA
Molecule: non-coding RNA, 227 nt
Organism: Pelobates cultripes (western spadefoot toad)
Lineage: Eukaryota; Metazoa; Chordata; Amphibia; Anura; Pelobatidae
Source: the annotation of a GenBank genome assembly